Molecule: ribosomal RNA, 896 nt
Filed under: Microbacterium azadirachtae
Lineage: Bacteria; Bacillati; Actinomycetota; Actinomycetes; Micrococcales; Microbacteriaceae
Description: bacterial SSU rRNA
Rfam family: Bacterial small subunit ribosomal RNA
Source: RNAcentral
GGGUAGCCGGCCUGAGUUAGGGUGACCGGCCACACUGGGACUGAGACACGGCCCAGACUCCUACGGGAGGCAGCAGUGGGGAAUAUUGCACAAUGGGCGGAAGCCUGAUGCAGCAACGCCGCGUGAGGGAUGACGGCCUUCGGGUUGUAAACCUCUUUUAGCAGGGAAGAAGCGAGAGUGACGGUACCUGCAGAAAAAGCACCGGCUAACUACGUGCCAGCAGCCGCGGUAAUACGUAGGGUGCAAGCGUUAUCCGGAAUUAUUGGGCGUAAAGAGCUCGUAGGCGGUUUGUCGCGUCUGCUGUGAAAUCCCGAGGCUCAACCUCGGGCCUGCAGUGGGUACGGGCAGACUAGAGUGCGGUAGGGGAGAUUGGAAUUCCUGGUGUAGCGGUGGAAUGCGCAGAUAUCAGGAGGAACACCGAUGGCGAAGGCAGAUCUCUGGGCCGUAACUGACGCUGAGGAGCGAAAGGGUGGGGAGCAAACAGGCUUAGAUACCCUGGUAGUCCACCCCGUAAACGUUGGGAACUAGUUGUGGGGUCCUUUCCACGGAUUCCGUGACGCAGCUAACGCAUUAAGUUCCCCGCCUGGGGAGUACGGCCGCAAGGCUAAAACUCAAAGGAAUUGACGGGGACCCGCACAAGCGGCGGAGCAUGCGGAUUAAUUCGAUGCAACGCGAAGAACCUUACCAAAGCUUGACAUACACGAGAACCGGCCAGAAAUGGUCAACUCUUGGGACACCUCUGAACAGGUGGUGCAGGGUUGUCGUCAGCUCGUGUCGUGAGAUGUUGGGUUAAGUCCCGCAACGAGCGCAACCUUCGUUCUAUGUUGCCAGCACGAAAUGGUGGGAACUCAUGGGAAUCUGCCGGGGUCAACUCGAAGAAAGGUGGGGUUGACGUC